CUAUACAUACAAUAAUAAAUUAGAAAUGAAUAAAUAAAAACCAAAUUGAAACGUUGCUUCCAAAUCCAAGCCUCCCACAUCUAAUUUCACUUCCUAAUUAUUUUGCCUUGCAGAAGUCAACCUUUGAAGCCAUUUUUACUUGAACAUAAUAUGAACAGGAGAUGCAAGAAGGCCAUAGAAGAAAUCAAAGCAUUCUGGCUGGAGUUAUUAAAGUUGUAGCUCACUAAUGCAAAAUUCAGAUCCUCAAUGAAUGGACUUGGAUUAGAAGCUUGAUAUCCA
This 279-nucleotide unclassified non-coding RNA is filed under the name Hevea brasiliensis (rubber tree). Lineage: Eukaryota; Viridiplantae; Streptophyta; Magnoliopsida; Malpighiales; Euphorbiaceae. The record is from RNAcentral.